This 253-nucleotide ribosomal RNA is filed under the name uncultured bacterium. Its description in RNAcentral is "partial 16S ribosomal RNA". It matches the Rfam family "Bacterial small subunit ribosomal RNA", at positions 524 to 776 of the family's 1533-position model. The record is from RNAcentral.
UACGGAGGGGGCGAGCGUUAUUCGGAAUUAUUGGGCGUAAAGGGCGCGUAGGCGGCCCCUUAAGUCAAAGGUGAAAUCCCUCGGCUCAACUGAGGAACUGCCUUUGAAACUGAUGGGCUUGAGGCCGGGAGGGGGUAGCGGAAUUCCCAGUGUAGCGAUGAAAUGCGUAGAUAUUGGGAGGAACACCAGUGGCGAAGGCGGCUACCUGGACCGGUUCUGACGCUGAUGCGCGAAAGCGUGGGUAGCAAACAGG